RNAcentral lists this unclassified non-coding RNA (419 nucleotides) under uncultured fungus. Its description in RNAcentral is "partial contains small subunit ribosomal RNA, internal transcribed spacer 1, and 5.8S ribosomal RNA". The stretch from base 1 to 73 matches the Rfam family "Eukaryotic small subunit ribosomal RNA", at positions 1759 to 1831 of the family's 1831-position model. The record is from RNAcentral. Lineage: Eukaryota; Fungi.
GCAAACUUGGUCAUUUAGAGGAAGUAAAAGUCGUAACAAGGUUUCCGUAGGUGAACCUGCGGAAGGAUCAUUAUUGAAUAUGCUUGAUGGGUUGUUGCUGGCCCCUCGGGGCAUGUGCACACUUGUCUUGACUCUAUUCAUCCACCUGUGCACCUAUUGUAGUUUCCUGAUUUCUAGUUUUGAAAGGUCAAGGGAAGCGACUUCACUCAAUCAGAUACUGAUUGGAUUUGGGACUUGCCUUUGGGCUGUUCCUUCUGAGUUGUGGAACAUUGUACCUUUUGAAAUUGGGAGACUAUGUAUUUUAUCACAAACCAUGUAGUAUGUUGCCAGAAUGUAUUUACUGGGACUUCGUGCCCAUAAAACUUUAUACAACUUUCAGCAACGGAUCUCUUGGCUCUCGCAUCGAUGAAGAACGCAGC